UACGGAGGGUGCGAGCGUUGUCCGGAAUCACUGGGCGUAAAGGGCGCGUAGGCGGCCUGAUAAGUAGGGGGUGAAAUCCUGCGGCUUAACCGCAGGGCUGCCUUCUAAACUGUCAGGCUAGAGCACAGUAGAGGCAGGUGGAAUUCCCGGUGUAGCGGUGGAAUGCGUAGAGAUCGGGAAGAACAUCAGUGGCGAAAGCGCUCUACUGGGCCAUAACUGACACUGAGGGACGAAAGCUAGGGGAGCGAAAGGG
Molecule: ribosomal RNA, 253 nt
Filed under: uncultured bacterium
Lineage: Bacteria
Description: partial 16S ribosomal RNA
Rfam family: Bacterial small subunit ribosomal RNA
Source: RNAcentral